Non-coding RNA from Salmo salar (Atlantic salmon), 54 nucleotides. The record is from Rfam. Lineage: Eukaryota; Metazoa; Chordata; Actinopteri; Salmoniformes; Salmonidae.
UGCAUUCACUACUGUAAGUCGCUCUGGAUAAGAGCGUCUGUUAAAUGAUGUAAA